GUUUGUAAAGUACUAAAUAUUCUCAGUAUUUAAAAUAGGUAUGAACAUGUAAAACGAUAUCAAACUAAACUACGAAUAAUAUGUAUAGUGUUUUUUAUUACAGACAACUGUAUAUCGCUGUUAAAUUAUCUAGUUAUGCCAGUUGAUAUAUUAAAAAGUUAGAUGAAAGUCUACUCGCAGAAUCGUAUGUUAUGAUAUAUGAAAUUUUGAUUCUGUAUAACUUGGCCUAAGAAAGAGGCUAAGAGGCAUAUUAAACAUCAAAAGA
This 265-nucleotide small RNA is filed under the name Arabidopsis thaliana (thale cress). RNAcentral describes it as "ATSL210370". Lineage: Eukaryota; Viridiplantae; Streptophyta; Magnoliopsida; Brassicales; Brassicaceae. The record is from RNAcentral.